RNAcentral lists this ribosomal RNA (749 nucleotides) under uncultured Providencia sp. RNAcentral describes it as "bacterial SSU rRNA". It matches the Rfam family "Bacterial small subunit ribosomal RNA", at positions 752 to 1502 of the family's 1533-position model. Lineage: Bacteria; Pseudomonadati; Pseudomonadota; Gammaproteobacteria; Enterobacterales; Morganellaceae. The record is from RNAcentral.
UGCGAAAGCGCGGGAGCAAACAGGAUUAGAUACCCUGGUAGUCCACGCUGUAAACGAUGUCGAUUUGGAGGUUGUUCCCUUGAGGAGUGGCUUCCGGAGCUAACGCGUUAAAUCGACCGCUGGGGAGUACGGCCGCAAGGUUAAAACUCAAAUGAAUUGACGGGGGCCCGCACAAGCGGUGGAGCAUGUGGUUUAAUUCGAUGCAACGCGAAGAACCUUACCUACUCUUGACAUCCAGAGAAUUUAGCAGAGAUGCUUUAGUGCCUUCGGGAACUCUGAGACAGGUGCUGCAUGGCUGUCGUCAGCUCGUGUUGUGAAAUGUUGGGUUAAGUCCCGCAACGAGCGCAACCCUUAUCCUUUGUUGCCAGCACAUUAUGGUGGGAACUCAAAGGAGACUGCCGGUGAUAAACCGGAGGAAGGUGGGGAUGACGUCAAGUCAUCAUGGCCCUUACGAGUAGGGCUACACACGUGCUACAAUGGCGUAUACAAAGAGAAGCGACCUCGCGAGAGCAAGCGGAACUCAUAAAGUACGUCGUAGUCCGGAUUGGAGUCUGCAACUCGACUCCAUGAAGUCGGAAUCGCUAGUAAUCGUAGAUCAGAAUGCUACGGUGAAUACGUUCCCGGGCCUUGUACACACCGCCCGUCACACCAUGGGAGUGGGUUGCAAAAGAAGUAGGUAGCUUAACCUUCGGGAGGGCGCUUACCACUUUGUGAUUCAUGACUGGGGUGAAGUCGUAACAAGGUAACCA